UGUUCCUGACGCUGAAGGCGAAAGCUAGGGGAGCGAACGGGAUUAGAUACCCCGGUAGUCCUAGCUGUAAACGAUGGAUGCUGGGUGUGGGGGGUGUAAAUUCCCUCUGUGCCGAAGCAUACGCGUUAAGCAUCCCGCCUGGGGACUACGGCCGCAAGGCUAAAACUCAAACGAAUUGACGGGGGCCCGCACAAGCAGCGGAGCGUGUGGUUUAAUUCGAUGCUACACGAAGAACCUUACCUGGGUUUGACAUGCACGUGGUAGGGAACCGAAAGGGGACCGACCUUCGGGAGCGUGCACAGGUGCUGCAUGGCUGUCGUCAGCUCGUGCCGUGAGGUGUCGGGUUAAGUCCCGUAACGAGCGCAACCCUUGCCCUUAGUUACAAGUGUCUAAGGGGACUGCCCGGGACAACUGGGAGGAAGGUGGGGAUGACGUCAAGUCAGCAUGGCCUUUAUAUCCAGGGCUACACACACGCUACAAUGGCCGGUACAAUAGGUUGCGAAGUCG
RNAcentral lists this ribosomal RNA (507 nucleotides) under uncultured organism. RNAcentral describes it as "bacterial SSU rRNA". It matches the Rfam family "Bacterial small subunit ribosomal RNA", at positions 735 to 1257 of the family's 1533-position model. The record is from RNAcentral.